GACGAACCGUGCGAACGUUGUUCGGAAUCACUGGGCUUAAAGGGCGCGUAGGCGGCUUGCCAAGUCCGGGGUGAAAUACUUCAGCUUAACUGGAGAAGUGCCUUCGAUACUGGCAGGCUUGAGGGAGGUAGGGGUCUGCGGAACUUCUGGUGGAGCGGUGAAAUGCGUUGAUAUCAGAAGGAACGCCGGUGGCGAAAGCGGCGGACUGGACCUCUUCUGACGCUGAGGCGCGAAAGCUAGGGGAGCAAACGGG
Molecule: ribosomal RNA, 253 nt
Filed under: uncultured bacterium
Lineage: Bacteria
Description: partial 16S ribosomal RNA
Rfam family: Bacterial small subunit ribosomal RNA
Source: RNAcentral